UAUGCAGAUGUAGUGCAGUUGAAGAAAUAAUAUUUAUAGAUCUGAUGAUGAGCGAUGGAUCGAAUUUCCAGCAAAGUCAAAUCAAAUUUCUUACAGACUGACUCAAAUACCAAAAUACCAAUAGAUUUACAAGAACUCGCAGUUAGGUCAUAGGAUAGCCCAUGAUUCUUUUCCACCAUUAUGGACAUUUGAUCAAGGGUUCAAAGGUGACUUCUAAUAUGACACCACCCCAAUGGGGAAGUUCCUGUCUCCUGGCAAGGAAAGGUGUGUUCAUAUUGACU
Molecule: long non-coding RNA, 281 nt
Organism: Lytechinus variegatus (green sea urchin)
Lineage: Eukaryota; Metazoa; Echinodermata; Echinoidea; Temnopleuroida; Toxopneustidae
Exons: 3
Source: RefSeq, a predicted model, not a curated record